This 217-nucleotide non-coding RNA is filed under the name Limosilactobacillus frumenti. RNAcentral describes it as "Lactobacillus frumenti T-box sequence". It matches the Rfam family "T-box leader". From Rfam's summary of the family: Uncharged tRNA acts as the effector for transcription antitermination of genes in the T-box leader family. T-boxes are found upstream of many aminoacyl-tRNA synthetase genes and some amino acid biosynthetic genes usually in Gram-positive bacteria. Lineage: Bacteria; Bacillati; Bacillota; Bacilli; Lactobacillales; Lactobacillaceae. The record is from RNAcentral.
AGAAAAUCAAUGAUGAGCAUUAGGUAAACAACCUAGUUACAGCGAACUAACGGAUGGUGAAAGGUUAGGACAAAUGGUUGUUAACCUUGAUCAGCUCAGAGAGUUUAGCUGAACGUAGUAAGCUAAGCCGGGUGGUACCCGUUAUAAACUAAUGAGGAGGUUCAAUUAACAAUUGAACCUUGAAUCAGGGUGGUACCACGAAGACUUCGUCCCAUAU